UACAGAGGUCCCGAGCGUUGUUCGGAUUCAUUGGGCGUAAAGGGUACGUAGGCGGUCGGGUAAGUCUGAUGUGAAAUCUCACAGCUUAACUGUGAAACUGCAUUGGAUACUAUCCGGCUUGAGGAAUGGAGGGGAGACUGGAAUACUUGGUGUAGCAGUGAAAUGCGUAGAUAUCAAGUGGAACACCAGUGGCGAAGGCGGCCCGCUGGGCAGUGGCUGACGCUGAAGCGCGACAGCGUGGGGAGCAAACAGG
This 253-nucleotide ribosomal RNA is filed under the name uncultured bacterium. Its description in RNAcentral is "partial 16S ribosomal RNA". It matches the Rfam family "Bacterial small subunit ribosomal RNA", at positions 524 to 776 of the family's 1533-position model. The record is from RNAcentral.